UGAAAUUAGAAUAUUAAUAGACUGUGUUGACGACUCUGCUUCAUUUUACUGUGAUGCCGAAUAAAUCAUAUGUUAUGGUUCAAGGUACAAGGGGAAUUCGCUGGCCCAGAUGAGGAGCCAAAGCAACACCAAGUCACAGUUUCACACGCCGCUUCUAAGGGGAGAUAUGCAAGGUUUAAAGAGAAUUUGAAUGCCAAGCCACUGGAGACGAAGCAAAACCACCAUCAAGUUGCUGUCUCAUGCGCCACUUCAAAAGGGAGCAAUGUCGCUUGAUG
Non-coding RNA from Triticum urartu, 275 nucleotides. The record is from RefSeq and is a predicted model, not a curated record. Lineage: Eukaryota; Viridiplantae; Streptophyta; Magnoliopsida; Poales; Poaceae.